This 420-nucleotide ribosomal RNA is filed under the name Triticum aestivum (bread wheat). RNAcentral's name for it is "partial small subunit ribosomal RNA". Lineage: Eukaryota; Viridiplantae; Streptophyta; Magnoliopsida; Poales; Poaceae. The record is from RNAcentral.
AUGGCCGCAGGCUCCGCCAUCUUCGUCCGUUCCCCCGCACUGUCGACUCCUGGGUCGAACGCCACCGAGCUCGGCGCCGUCACCAGGGAGCCGUACAACACCAGUGUGCUCGCCGUGGGCUGCCUCAUCGUGCCCUCCGGCUUCGACAUCACCGCGUCCGGCUCUGAGAGCCGCCCGUCCCCCGUGGUCAACAUCACCGACGCGCGCGGGUUCAACGUGGCCGCCUCCAUGCUCGAGGCCUCCGGCGUGGCGGACGACUUCGAGGCCGAAGAGCAGGGCGCCGGCAUCACCAUCUUCGUCCCCACCGACGACGCGCUCGCGGCCCUCCCCGCCACCGACCGCCUCCAGUCCCUCCCCUCCGACUGCAAGGCCGUGGUGCUGCACUCCUACCACCCGCUCGGGUCCCUCAGUUCAUCGUGA